Molecule: transfer RNA, 90 nt
Filed under: Urbifossiella limnaea
Lineage: Bacteria; Pseudomonadati; Planctomycetota; Planctomycetia; Gemmatales; Gemmataceae
Description: Planctomycetes bacterium ETA_A1 tRNA-Arg
Source: RNAcentral
GCCGGACCUGGUGGUGGCCGCCGGGUUCGGCGGCGGCCCGCGGGUGGCCCUGUUCGACGGGAGGACGGUGUUCGACACACCGACCCGGCU